CACAGACUCAUUCCCCACCAUUUAAAACAUCAACAUGGAUAAUUAGAUAGGAAACAAAACAUGGUUUACGUAUGAAAGAGAAACAAAACACUUCCAGCUUAAUGAACUAGAAAUAAAAUCUUCCACUAUAAUUGCCACUAUUAUCUGAUGUGUUAGCACCAAGUUAAUCAAAGGGGCACUCCAGACAAAGGAAGUUAAUGAAUCAUGGUGCCAUCUGCACAUGCUUGAGAAGCCUGGUGCCUUGAAAUAGGAAAUACAACAAGGGUCCAUUACAGCAUCCAUCACGCUAUGUUCUAAUUACUUUUUAUAAAUUAUUUUCCCGACUACACUGUGAGCUUUGUUAGGACAAAAAAAAAAGUCUUUGUUGGCCGGGUGUGGUGGCUCACGCCUAUAAUCCCAGCACUUUGGGAGGCCGAGGCGGGUGGAACAUAAGGUCAGGAGUUCAAGACCAGCCUGGCCCAAAUGGUGAAACCCCAUCUCUACUAAAUAUACAAAAAUUAGCCGGGUGUGGUGGCGAGUGCCUUGUAGUCCCAGCUACUCAGGAGGCUGAGGCAGGAGAAUCACUUGAACC
This 571-nucleotide long non-coding RNA is filed under the name Homo sapiens (human). RNAcentral's name for it is "HSALNT0025408". Lineage: Eukaryota; Metazoa; Chordata; Mammalia; Primates; Hominidae. The record is from RNAcentral.